GACGAACGCUGGCGGCGUGCUUAACACAUGCAAGUCGAACGGAAAGGCCCUGCUUUUGUGGGGUGCUCGAGUGGCGAACGGGUGAGUAACACGUGAGUAACCUGCCCUUGACUUUGGGAUAACUUCAGGAAACUUGGGCUAAUACCGGAUAGUAGCUCCUGCUGCAUGGUGGGUGUUGGAAAGUUUCGGCGGUUGGGGAUGGACUCGCGGCUUAUCAGCUUGUUGGUGGGGUAGUGGCUUACCAAGGCUUUGACGGGUAGCCGGCCUGAGAGGGUGACCGGCCACAUUGGGACUGAGAUACGGCCCAGACUCCUACGGGAGGCAGCAGUGGGGAAUAUUGCACAAUGGGCGGAAGCCUGAUGCAGCAAAGCCGCGUGCGGGAUGACGGCCUUCGGGUUGUAAACCGCUUUCGCAUGUGACGAAGCGUGAGUGACGGUAAUGGGUAAAGAAGCACCGGCUAACUACGUG
This 468-nucleotide ribosomal RNA is filed under the name uncultured bacterium. Its description in RNAcentral is "partial 16S ribosomal RNA". It matches the Rfam family "Bacterial small subunit ribosomal RNA", at positions 28 to 507 of the family's 1533-position model. The record is from RNAcentral.